RNAcentral lists this ribosomal RNA (497 nucleotides) under uncultured bacterium. Its description in RNAcentral is "partial 16S ribosomal RNA". It matches the Rfam family "Bacterial small subunit ribosomal RNA", at positions 28 to 507 of the family's 1533-position model. The record is from RNAcentral.
GAUGAACGCUGGCGGCGUGCCUAAUACAUGCAAGUCGAGCGAACGGACGAGAAUCUUGCUUCUCUGAUGUUAGCGCCCGACGGGUGCGUCACACGUGGAUAACCUACCUAUAAGACUGGGAUCCCUUCGCGAAACCGGAUCUCAUACCCGAUGAUAUUUUGAACCGCAUGGUUCCAAAGUGCAAGACGCUCUUGCUGUCACUUAUAGAUGUCUCCGCGCUGCAUUAGCUAGUUGGUAAGGUAACGGCUUACCAAGGCAACGAUGCAUAGACGACCGGAGAGGGUGAUCGGCCACACGGGAAGUGAGACAGGGACGAGACUCCUACGGGAGGGAGCAGUAGGGAAUAGUAGGCAAUGGGCGAAAGGGUGACGGAGCAAGGCGGCGUGAGUGAUGAAGGUGGUCGGAUCGGAAAACUCUGUUAUUAGGGAAGAAGAGAAGUGUAAGUAACUGGGGAGAUCGUGACGGUACCGAAAGAGAAAGCCACGGCUAACUACGUG